Molecule: ribosomal RNA, 2767 nt
Filed under: Pseudomonas aeruginosa
Lineage: Bacteria; Pseudomonadati; Pseudomonadota; Gammaproteobacteria; Pseudomonadales; Pseudomonadaceae
Description: partial 23S ribosomal RNA
Rfam family: Bacterial large subunit ribosomal RNA
Source: RNAcentral
GGUCAAGUGAAGAAGCGCAUACGGUGGAUGCCUUGGCAGUCAGAGGCGAUGAAAGACGUGGUAGCCUGCGAAAAGCUUCGGGGAGUCGGCAAACAGACUUUGAUCCGGAGAUCUCUGAAUGGGGGAACCCACCUAGGAUAACCUAGGUAUCUUGUACUGAAUCCAUAGGUGCAAGAGGCGAACCAGGGGAACUGAAACAUCUAAGUACCCUGAGGAAAAGAAAUCAACCGAGAUUCCCUUAGUAGUGGCGAGCGAACGGGGAUUAGCCCUUAAGCUUCAUUGAUUUUAGCGGAACGCUCUGGAAAGUGCGGCCAUAGUGGGUGAUAGCCCCGUACGCGAAAGGAUCUUUGAAGUGAAAUCGAGUAGGACGGAGCACGAGAAACUUUGUCUGAACAUGGGGGGACCAUCCUCCAAGGCUAAAUACUACUGACUGACCGAUAGUGAACCAGUACCGUGAGGGAAAGGCGAAAAGAACCCCGGAGAGGGGAGUGAAAUAGAACCUGAAACCGUAUGCGUACAAGCAGUGGGAGCCUACUUGUUAGGUGACUGCGUACCUUUUGUAUAAUGGGUCAGCGACUUAUAUUCAGUGGCAAGCUUAACCGUAUAGGGUAGGCGUAGCGAAAGCGAGUCUUAAUAGGGCGUUUAGUCGCUGGGUAUAGACCCGAAACCGGGCGAUCUAUCCAUGAGCAGGUUGAAGGUUAGGUAACACUGACUGGAGGACCGAACCCACUCCCGUUGAAAAGGUAGGGGAUGACUUGUGGAUCGGAGUGAAAGGCUAAUCAAGCUCGGAGAUAGCUGGUUCUCCUCGAAAGCUAUUUAGGUAGCGCCUCAUGUAUCACUCUGGGGGGUAGAGCACUGUUUCGGCUAGGGGGUCAUCCCGACUUACCAAACCGAUGCAAACUCCGAAUACCCAGAAGUGCCGAGCAUGGGAGACACACGGCGGGUGCUAACGUCCGUCGUGAAAAGGGAAACAACCCAGACCGCCAGCUAAGGUCCCAAAGUUGUGGUUAAGUGGUAAACGAUGUGGGAAGGCUUAGACAGCUAGGAGGUUGGCUUAGAAGCAGCCACCCUUUAAAGAAAGCGUAAUAGCUCACUAGUCGAGUCGGCCUGCGCGGAAGAUGUAACGGGGCUCAAACCACACACCGAAGCUGCGGGUGUCACGUAAGUGACGCGGUAGAGGAGCGUUCUGUAAGCCUGUGAAGGUGAGUUGAGAAGCUUGCUGGAGGUAUCAGAAGUGCGAAUGCUGACAUGAGUAACGACAAUGGGUGUGAAAAACACCCACGCCGAAAGACCAAGGGUUCCUGCGCAACGUUAAUCGACGCAGGGUUAGUCGGUUCCUAAGGCGAGGCUGAAAAGCGUAGUCGAUGGGAAACAGGUUAAUAUUCCUGUACUUCUGGUUACUGCGAUGGAGGGACGGAGAAGGCUAGGCCAGCUUGGCGUUGGUUGUCCAAGUUUAAGGUGGUAGGCUGAAAUCUUAGGUAAAUCCGGGGUUUCAAGGCCGAGAGCUGAUGACGAGUCGUCUUUUAGAUGACGAAGUGGUUGAUGCCAUGCUUCCAAGAAAAGCUUCUAAGCUUCAGGUAACCAGGAACCGUACCCCAAACCGACACAGGUGGUCGGGUAGAGAAUACCAAGGCGCUUGAGAGAACUCGGGUGAAGGAACUAGGCAAAAUGGCACCGUAACUUCGGGAGAAGGUGCGCCGGCUAGGGUGAAGGAUUUACUCCGUAAGCUCUGGCUGGUCGAAGAUACCAGGCCGCUGCGACUGUUUAUUAAAAACACAGCACUCUGCAAACACGAAAGUGGACGUAUAGGGUGUGACGCCUGCCCGGUGCCGGAAGGUUAAUUGAUGGGGUUAGCGCAAGCGAAGCUCUUGAUCGAAGCCCCGGUAAACGGCGGCCGUAACUAUAACGGUCCUAAGGUAGCGAAAUUCCUUGUCGGGUAAGUUCCGACCUGCACGAAUGGCGUAACGAUGGCGGCGCUGUCUCCACCCGAGACUCAGUGAAAUUGAAAUCGCUGUGAAGAUGCAGUGUAUCCGCGGCUAGACGGAAAGACCCCGUGAACCUUUACUGUAGCUUUGCACUGGACUUUGAGCCUGCUUGUGUAGGAUAGGUGGGAGGCUUUGAAGCGUGGACGCCAGUUCGCGUGGAGCCAUCCUUGAAAUACCACCCUGGCAUGCUUGAGGUUCUAACUCUGGUCCGUGAUCCGGAUCGAGGACAGUGUAUGGUGGGCAGUUUGACUGGGGCGGUCUCCUCCUAAAGAGUAACGGAGGAGUACGAAGGUGCGCUCAGACCGGUCGGAAAUCGGUCGUAGAGUAUAAAGGCAAAAGCGCGCUUGACUGCGAGACAGACACGUCGAGCAGGUACGAAAGUAGGUCUUAGUGAUCCGGUGGUUCUGUAUGGAAGGGCCAUCGCUCAACGGAUAAAAGGUACUCCGGGGAUAACAGGCUGAUACCGCCCAAGAGUUCAUAUCGACGGCGGUGUUUGGCACCUCGAUGUCGGCUCAUCACAUCCUGGGGCUGAAGCCGGUCCCAAGGGUAUGGCUGUUCGCCAUUUAAAGUGGUACGCGAGCUGGGUUUAGAACGUCGUGAGACAGUUCGGUCCCUAUCUGCCGUGGACGUUUGAGAUUUGAGAGGGGCUGCUCCUAGUACGAGAGGACCGGAGUGGACGAACCUCUGGUGUUCCGGUUGUCACGCCAGUGGCAUUGCCGGGUAGCUAUGUUCGGAAAAGAUAACCGCUGAAAGCAUCUAAGCGGGAAACUUGCCUCAAGAUG